UGCUCUUCUGGAUGAGUUGCGAACGGGUGAGUAACGCGUAGGUAACCUGCCUGGUAGCGGGGGAUAACUAUUGGAAACGAUAGCUAAUACCGCAUAAGAGUAGAUAUCGCAUGAUAGCUGCUUGAAAGGUGCAAUUGCACCACUACCAGAUGGACCUGCGUUGUAUUAGCUAGUUGGUGAGGUAACGGCUCACCAAGGCAACGAUACAUAGCCGACCUGAGAGGGUGAUCGGCCACACUGGGACUGAGACACGGCCCAGACUCCUACGGGAGGCAGCAGUAGGGAAUCUUCGGCAAUGGACGAAAGUCUGACCGAGCAACGCCGCGUGAGUGAAGAAGGUUUUCGGAUCGUAAAGCUCUGUUGUAAGAGAAGAACGAGUGUGAGAGUGGAAAGUUCACACUGUGACGGUAUCUUACCAGAAAGGGACGGCUAACUACGUGCCAGCAGCCGCGGUAAUACGUAGGUCCCGAGCGUUGUCCGGAUUUAUUGGGCGUAAAGCGAGCGCAGGCGGUUAGAUAAGUCUGAAGUUAAAGGCUGUGGCUUAACCAUAGUACGCUUUGGAAACUGUUUAACUUGAGUGCAAGAGGGGAGAGUGGAAUUCCAUGUGUAGCGGUGAAAUGCGUAGAUAUAUGGAGGAAC
This 639-nucleotide ribosomal RNA is filed under the name uncultured bacterium. RNAcentral's name for it is "bacterial SSU rRNA". It matches the Rfam family "Bacterial small subunit ribosomal RNA", at positions 80 to 707 of the family's 1533-position model. The record is from RNAcentral.